AUGGCCGGGGAUACGGGCGGACCAACGAAGGAGGUGGCUCUAACGGUCCAGCCAAAUUUGACUGAAAGUCAAAAAAGUUCCAUGCGACUCGAUUAUAGUACUAGGUCCCAAGAAAUAGGGGAAAAUCAGCAGACUGAUAAUGUCAGUGAAUGCGAUUUUAGGGAGGCUGUGGACAAGGCUCGCUCUCUUGUUCUACUGCUCACCUCUCUUGCUGCCACCAUCACCUACGCAGCCGGGUUGGACCCGUCGGGUGGCCUGUGGCAGGAUAAUGGCAACGAGCACAUGACCGGCGACCCGAUCCUUCUCACGACGAACGCUAGGCGGUACAAGACCUUCUACUACUGCAACUCGGCUGCCUUGGUGACCUCCUUGGUGGCCAUCAUUCUUGUCCAAAAUAAGCUUAUGCUCAAGCACCACGUGUUGGAGGUAGCCAUGAUACUCGUCCUAUUUGGCCUCAUGGGCGCUUAUGCCGCCGGGAGCUGCUGGGACUUGGACACCUCCAUUUACGCCAUGGCCUUGGCCGGCGUGGUCCUUAUUUAUGUGGUGAUCCAUGUUCUCGUCUUCAUGCUGGACCACAAGGACAAACAAGGCGACGAAGAGUUGCUCGAGAAGAGGCACAAACGGUUGCUUCUCUUCGUGAUCUUGGCAGUGACCAUCACCUAUCAAGCGGGACUCACGCCUCCAGGCGGCUUCCUCCUCAGGGAUGACCAGUUCAGGCACCAUGCAGGUGACCCGAUCCUCUUCCCACGCCGCUACUAUUGA
Molecule: ribosomal RNA, 762 nt
Filed under: Triticum aestivum (bread wheat)
Lineage: Eukaryota; Viridiplantae; Streptophyta; Magnoliopsida; Poales; Poaceae
Description: partial small subunit ribosomal RNA
Source: RNAcentral